RNAcentral lists this ribosomal RNA (636 nucleotides) under uncultured beta proteobacterium. Its description in RNAcentral is "bacterial SSU rRNA". It matches the Rfam family "Bacterial small subunit ribosomal RNA", at positions 86 to 719 of the family's 1533-position model. Lineage: Bacteria; Pseudomonadati; Pseudomonadota; Betaproteobacteria. The record is from RNAcentral.
UGCUGACGAGUGGCGAACGGGUGAGUAAUACAUCGGAACGUGCCCGAGAGUGGGGGAUAACGGAGCGAAAGCUUUGCUAAUACCGCAUACGAUCUACGGAUGAAAGCAGGGGACCGCAAGGCCUUGCGCUCAUGGAGCGGCCGAUGGCAGAUUAGGUAGUUGGUGGGAUAAAAGCUUACCAAGCCGACGAUCUGUAGCUGGUCUGAGAGGACGACCAGCCACACUGGGACUGAGACACGGCCCAGACUCCUACGGGAGGCAGCAGUGGGGAAUUUUGGACAAUGGGCGAAAGCCUGAUCCAGCCAUGCCGCGUGCAGGAUGAAGGCCUUCGGGUUGUAAACUGCUUUUGUACGGAACGAAAAGACUCUGGUUAAUACCUGGGGUCCAUGACGGUACCGUAAGAAUAAGCACCGGCUAACUACGUGCCAGCAGCCGCGGUAAUACGUAGGGUGCAAGCGUUAAUCGGAAUUACUGGGCGUAAAGCGUGCGCAGGCGGUUAUAUAAGACAGAUGUGAAAUCCCCGGGCUCAACCUGGGAACUGCAUUUGUGACUGUAUAGCUAGAGUACGGUAGAGGGGGAUGGAAUUCCGCGUGUAGCAGUGAAAUGCGUAGAUAUGCGGAGGACACCGAUGGCGAA